Limulus polyphemus (Atlantic horseshoe crab) is the source of this 128-nucleotide long non-coding RNA. RefSeq lists it as uncharacterized. NCBI's taxonomy places the organism in Eukaryota, Metazoa, Arthropoda, Merostomata, Xiphosura, Limulidae. The transcript is spliced from 3 exons. The record is from RefSeq and is a predicted model, not a curated record.
GUAAAAACCAACCUGCUACAAGUAACUGCAACAACACCUUCCGUUGGCGAGGUGUUGUUGCGGCCCUAUUCUUCAUUUGGAGUUUACAGGAAUAGAAAAAAGGAUAAGAAAUUUAUAAAGAAAUAUAU